This 253-nucleotide ribosomal RNA is filed under the name uncultured bacterium. RNAcentral describes it as "partial 16S ribosomal RNA". It matches the Rfam family "Bacterial small subunit ribosomal RNA", at positions 524 to 776 of the family's 1533-position model. The record is from RNAcentral.
UACGGGGGGGGCAAGCGUUGUUCGGAAUUACUGGGCGUAAAGGGCUUGUAGGUGGCCAACUAAGUCAGACGUGAAAUCCCUCGGCUUAACCGGGGAACUGCGUCUGAUACUGGUUGGCUUGAAUCCGGGAGAGGGACGUGGAAUUCCAGGUGUAGCGGUGAAAUGCGUAGAUAUCUGGAGGAACACCGGUGGCGAAGGCGACGUCCUGGACCGGUAUUGACGCUGAGGCGCGAAAGCCAGGGGAGCAAACGGG